AUUUAGAUCGAGUUCAGACAUUGAAACCAAACUCCAAGAAGAGAAAGUUGCUUCGUUUUCUCAUACAGCUUCCAAUUCAAAGUGGCUCUGCUCUAGGAUCCAUGCAACAGACUGGCUGCUGCAGGAGCUCUGUACGUCCCGUUCUUUCAGAUUCAGACCCAAGUGUGUUGUAGUCGGCUUUUUCAAAUACUUCUGAGUCUAGAGCAGAGUGAUCUGUGACCAAAACAGUUUCUUAUACAUCUGGACAACCAACCUGGUUAAGCCAAGGAAGAAGUAAGGCCAAAAAAAAAAUGAAAAGACAUGUGAGGGCAUAUCAAAACAUCAUCUUUGAUCUUUCAGAACCAGAAGUUAUCCCUCACGAAUCCCACCAAGAGUCUCAUGCCUCCACUGGAACAACUUCCUUUUUGUACGUUGUCCUUUCCUGAAGAAUUAUGCAAGAUUCAAGAGAGAGCAAGAGAGAGAGCAAGAGACGUGAGUGCAUGUAAAAAAAGAAGAAGAUCAAGUUGCAUACGUUGAACUGGAUUAAAGUACUUAAAUGCUUCCACCGGUUCCUUUUGUGGUGUUUUUUAUUUUGGAUGAAGAAUAGAGAGCUCCAUCAAUAGUUGUGUUGUAAGAAAAGAGAUUCACUUAGAAAAGUGGGUUGAUGUGUGGUUAUUGGUAUCAUGUGUUAAAAAUAUAUUUUCAGAGAAAUAUAUUAAAAUAUACAUACACAAAUGUAAAAGAUGAACUAAAUAAAAUGUAUAAUAAAAAAAAGAUAGUUUAACGAAGCAAUUAAUUUUUGGGCAGGUUUGCUAUCGUAUGUGAUUAUUGGUAUCAUGUGUUAAAAAUAUAUUUUCAGCGAAAUAUAUUAAAAUAUACAUACAUGAAUUAUUUACACUACAACAAUUAACAAACGAAACAGUAAUUAAUUAACAGUUUUUGAAAGUAAAACCAAUAUUGUAAAUGUAUCCCGUAUUUAUUUUAUAAAUAGCCAUUUGAAUUUGCAAAACCUUCAACAUUAUAUAUUUAAAGAAAAAUAUUAGUGUUUUAAUAUAUAUAUAUAUAUAUAUAUAUAUAUAUAUAUAUAAGAGAAAUUCUCUAGCUCUUUUCAAGUUUUUGUCACAAAAAUAGUCUUCAAUAAGAAAAAUGAUCGAAAAAAGUUUUAUUAAAGGGUAAAAGUACAUUUUUAGUCUAGGGUUAACUAAUUUAGAUUUAAGGUUUAGAGUUAAGGGGUGGGGUUUUGGGGAUAAAAUUUCAAAUUAAAAAAAAAAUUAUUAAAAUUUUAAAAAUAGAAAAGGGAUAUUUUGGUCAAUUUUUUUUUAGAGAUAUUUUAUGACAAAAACUUAAAAUGACUAUUUGAGAGAAUUCUCCUAUGUAUAAUCAGUGUCACUUUAUAUAAUUAUUAGUUGCAGUACCUAUAUUUCCUAUUUCAUUCAAAUGAAACGAUAAAAUUAGUAGAAAUACAUAACAUUACUAAAAUUUGGUGAAGAAUUAGUCAACAAAUAAUUUUUUUGUGAAUAUACAUAAUAUUACCCAAUACGUAAAUUUUAAGAAUACAUAUAAAAUUUCAACAAUAUAUAAAGAUACAAAAAGAGAAACCAAAACUAAAACAAAAAAAGGUUCCAAAACGAGACCAAGAUAAACCAAUCCCAAAACUGAAAUUUAAGGACAAAAUAGCUUUCCUUCACAAAAACAACCGAAACCAAUCACCACAAUAUGUUAAUAUGGGUGAGAAGGUUAGCACAGCUAUGUUAUGUUUGGAUGAGUGUUGUCGUAUUUCACCCAUGUUGACAACUUUAGUCGAUGGUCUCAUAGAUAAAUGAUAAAUGAUUUUCUCAAGAAUAUUUGAGAUACUGUUUCAAUUUCGCAUUCUUUAUAUUUGGUGUUUUUGUUAAAAUUGUUUUUUUUUUGUGUUCAUUAAUCAAUAUUAGAACUGUUGCUCUAUUUUUAGGGACUAUGCAUCACCUUCGAUCAAUCUCCAGAGUAGAAAAACUACUUUAAACAUGUAUUUAGGUUGACAAUAUAUAUAUAUAUAUAUAUAUAUAUAUAUAUAUAUAUAUAUAUAUAUAUAUAUCUUAGUGUGACUUCUCAUUUCAUAUAGACAAUACAUAUAUUUGUUUUACUAACUUUGUUGAUCGGAGCGACGAACACAUGAUUUAUUACAUGAUUUUUUGUAAAUUUCUGUAUGAUUUUGUGUCAGCUAAUUAGAGACACAAGUAAAUAUUUUAUCUCUUAGUUUAGCAAAAAACAAAAAAAAACAAAUCUCUUUUCAUGCUGCACAAAUUUGACUUUAGCUAAAAUUUGGUUCCUUAGUUUUCAAUUACCCAAUUGCAAAAGAAUCAUAUGAAAAUCUGCUCGAGACAAAAGAUAAUAAAUCCUGUAAACACCGAAACAAACUUGACUUUUUAAAAAAAUAUAUCAAAUCCCGCGCGAAGCGCGGGCUACCCCUAGUAGCUUAUAUAGAGUUAUACCAAUAUUUUUCUUAUCAGAUUUGUGAAUCCCAAAAAUCUAUGGUAAGCAAGCGUAGACAAAAAAAUAAAUAAAUAAUCUAUCGGAAGCGGUUUGAUCCUCGGUCAAACCUUGCAAACCUCUGUGUAAAAUAUAUAUUCCAUCUAUUUUAUAUUAUAAGUAGUUUUAGCAAAAAAAUACAUUUUAUAAUAGAAAUUUUUGUAAUUUUUUUAUAUUUAUUAAAUAUUGUAUGAGCAAUUAAAUUAUGUAUUUAUACAUUAUAUACUAAAUAAUAUUUUUAAAAUUUCUGGGCUGGAUUUUCCAUGAUUUUAAGAAUCCAACGUAAUAUUAAUAAUGUAUAUAUCUAUAUUAUUAAAACUGAAAUAUUUUUGAUAAUGUUUGGAAACAUGAAUAUCAUUAUAAAUGAUAAUUGUUUGAAAACAUAGAUAGCAGUAUAAAAAAGAAAUAUAGAAUCCUUUUAGUAAUUUAAAUAAUAUAAUUACAUUAAUUAUCUUUCCAUAUUUCAUUCAGUUUAACAAUUUCAUUAGUUAUAUUACCUUAACAAAGACCGCUACUGAUUGUUCUGAAGAUGUGGACAGUGAAGCUCUUGCAACUCUUAUCCUUAACAAGCUACGUGCUGGAAUCAAGGUUUGAAACUUAGACACCUGAAACUUCUAAUUUAAUAUUCUUUCUUUAUUCCAGCACGUAGUUCUCCAGUCGUCGUCGUCUUCCAUCUCUUCUUAUCUCAGCACCUUCAUCUUUACAGCUUCCCCUUCUCCGCUUGAACGUAUACGUUCAUUAGCAUUUAGCUCAAUCAUUAAUUGCAGAUAUCCUAAGGACAUGAAUCGAUUUCCAUUCCACCAGCUCCACAUUAUAUAAGUCCCUCAUCUCUUUCUUCCUUCCUCUCAUCACCACAGUAACAGAAAUCAAUUUAUCAAAUCCACAAAAGGGAACAGAGACAGCGAAAUUUACCGGCAACCACCAUGUGUCUCUCUACAGUGACGAGUACCCUGAUUUUAUAAUAACUAUACAAGUAAAGAUAUUACCGCUCUUAACUACAACUAUGCUAUGUUGAAGGCAAGGUGGUACUUAACAAGCAUGAGGAAGAAAAAGCCACAUAUUACCGCUCUUAACUACAACUAUGCUAUGUUGAGUCAACUUGAUUUCGCUGUUGCUAGAGAUUUAACUUUCAUAAAAUAGAGACUUCCAUGAUGUUGUCCUCGGUCUGUGUGAGGCCAAACUGGUUCCGUCAUCACUGCCUUUUUGAAUCACUAGGCGACGUUCUACUUGAACUCUUUAAGUAACACAAAACUCUGAAUCUGAUGACUAAUUGACGCUAUUUUUAUGUGCUCACUUUCAUAUAGACAUGGCUUUUCUCAGAUGUCAUGGAGUUUAUUAAAGUAAGCUGAGGCUGCUUCGUUGCCUUACAGGAAACUUGGAGGCAUAUGGUAGAUGCUUACUGGGAUCUCUUGAGUCCUGCAAUUCAAUCAGACACCAUGAGGAACAUAAUGGACAUGAAAGCAAACAUGGGUUCCUUUGCUACUGCUCUGAAUGACAAAGAUGUUUGGGUUAUGAAUGUCGUUCCUGAAGACGGGCCUAACACACUUAAACUGAUAUACGACAGAGGCCUGAUGGGUGCUGUUCAUAGCUGGUGUGAAGCCUUCUCAACAUACCCAAGGACUUACGAUCUAUUCAUGUGUUUCUUUGUCACCUUUUUUUUUCUUUUAUAUAAGAAAACUAAUUUCUUAUUUUGUAUUAUUUUAAAUAUAUUUAUUAGGUGAUGUUUUGAAGUUUGUGUGAUUUAUUGAUCUUGAUGGAUGAUGGUGUAAUUUUUAAAAAAUUCUAUUUUUCGGAUAAUUAUAUUAUAUUUUAGCUGAGCAA
Molecule: long non-coding RNA, 4308 nt
Organism: Brassica rapa (field mustard)
Lineage: Eukaryota; Viridiplantae; Streptophyta; Magnoliopsida; Brassicales; Brassicaceae
Source: RefSeq, a predicted model, not a curated record